This is a long non-coding RNA of Uranotaenia lowii, 398 nucleotides long. RefSeq lists it as uncharacterized. The record is from RefSeq and is a predicted model, not a curated record. The transcript has 3 exons. NCBI's taxonomy places the organism in Eukaryota, Metazoa, Arthropoda, Insecta, Diptera, Culicidae.
CCUUAUCGGAAGAAGUGAUAGCCUGUCGCGGAAUUGGCCAAAGCCUAAGGUGACUUACCGGACGUCGGUACACAACGCCAUCUUCAUUUACUACGCUUUGGGCAAAUACUAAAAGCAGCCAAAUCACCCGGUAGAGAAGUUCCCCCAACGAGCGCUGCGGAUGGCCAAUGCCAUAAUUAAUAGUUUGCAAUCCGUUAACGAGAGGGGGAUCCAUUCAUCCACGCCCGGUGGGAGAUUUUUUCGAACAUUCCGGCCCGUUCCAGAUUCUUCCGGAUGCGUUGGACCGGUGAAUGAGUCCUCGUCCUUGUCAAUUUUGUUGGUGUUUCAAACGGAAUGGAACCGGCGUCAUCCAAACGGUACCCUGAAAUUUUUUUGUUUAUGAUGAAAAUUGAAAUAAC